Molecule: ribosomal RNA, 484 nt
Filed under: uncultured bacterium
Lineage: Bacteria
Description: partial 16S ribosomal RNA
Rfam family: Bacterial small subunit ribosomal RNA
Source: RNAcentral
AUUGAACGCUGGCGGCAGGCCUAACACAUGCAAGUCGAGCGGAUGAAGGGAGCUUGCCCCUGGAUUCAGCGGCGGACGGGUGAGUAAUGCCUAGGAAUCUGCCUGGUAGUGGGGGAUAACGUCCGGAAACGGGCGCUAAUACCGCAUACGUCCUGAGGGAGAAAGUGGGGGAUCUUCGGACCUCACGCUAUCAGAUGAGCCUAGGUCGGAUUAGCUAGUUGGUGGGGUAAAGGCCUACCAAGGCGACGAUCCGUAACUGGUCUGAGAGGAUGAUCAGUCACACUGGAACUGAGACACGGUCCAGACUCCUACGGGAGGCAGCAGUGGGGAAUAUUGGACAAUGGGCGAAAGCCUGAUCCAGCCAUGCCGCGUGUGUGAAGAAGGUCUUCGGAUUGUAAAGCACUUUAAGUUGGGAGGAAGGGCAGUAAGUUAGUACCUUGCUGUUUUGACGUUACCAACAGAAUAAGCACCGGCUAACUUCGUG